RNAcentral lists this ribosomal RNA (253 nucleotides) under uncultured bacterium. RNAcentral describes it as "partial 16S ribosomal RNA". It matches the Rfam family "Bacterial small subunit ribosomal RNA", at positions 524 to 776 of the family's 1533-position model. The record is from RNAcentral.
UACGUAUGGAGCAAGCGUUAUCCGGAUUUACUGGGUGUAAAGGGAGCGCAGGCGGCUUUGCAAGUCUGAUGUGAAAGGCCGGGGCUCAACCCCGGGACUGCAUUGGAAACUGUAAAGCUAGAGUGCCGGAGAGGUAAGCGGAAUUCCUAGUGUAGCGGUGAAAUGCGUAGAUAUCACGCAGAACCCCGAUUGCGAAGGCAGCCUUCCGGCGCCCUACUGACGCUGAGGCACGAAAGUGCGGGGAUCGAACAGG